AGAUUUGGUCUUUCAAUUUCGUCUGGGCCAGCUUAACUUAGAGCCCAAAAAUCCCAAAUUACCCGGGCCCAAAACAUUAAGCACAUACACAUUCCCCGUUUGACCUAACUUAAUCCAUACCCCUAUAAAAUAAAGUUAAAACCUAAAAAUAGCUGGACCCCAACUUUUCCCAUCAACCGUUUUGCUUGAUCUUCUACAGAUCCAUCGUCUCUCACACAAAAAUGGAGACAUUUCCUUAAUCUAGCUAAAAGAAAGAACUCUCAGCUGAAGGAGCGAUUAUAUUUGUAGAGGCAAGACCUAUAGAAAAAGAAAAAAAAAGAAAAACGGUGCAGCAGAAAAGGGAAUCUGAUUGGGAACCAAAAUUGGGAUCUAAACGAAACAAAAAAAGGCGACGUCGAUUCCAAAAGAAAAGAGACCACUGUCUCAAAUUCCCAAAACAAUUUUGAGGACCCGUCAGAGGUUCGUCGGAGUUUCACCACUUCUGACGAGCUCUCUUUCACCAUAAAACGCAGCAGCUCAAUUGUUCUCUUAAUUUGAGUUCAGCCCGUGAAGGUCGUCGAGGUCACCGUGGUCUUGAGAAUAAAGUUGAUUCACUAAAGGUAUUUUAUUUGUUUUUCUUCUUCAGAUCUUGUCUUCAUGAUUUAUUGAAAUUUUAAGGUCAUUAAUUGUUUGAUUAAGCAUUAAAAUUAGGGAUAACAUAUAUUGCUACUUUGAAGAUUUGAUACUUUUGGCCCUUUCUGUUUUUUUUUACUUCUUGAAAAAUGACAUUAUGUUUGGUGCCUUAGUUAAUGUUUUACUGUCUAGAUCUAUCGUUGUAGUUUCUUGGUUCAUGAAUUAACAUUAUGCUAGCUAUCAUUGCUUUAGUUUGUUGGAUAAAUAUUGAAUCACAUAAGUACAUAACUGUAAUGUGAAGAACAAUGAGAGGUGGGUUUGAUUCCAGUUCUUAGGAAAGGAAGCAGAUUUGGGCCUACAGAGCUGGCCCAACUCAGAAACUCUACUGCUAUUAACCCACCUAUGAUUUGCAAUGUAGAUAAUUCUCCUAACUGUAAUAAUAGAAAAGUUAUACUUUUUUCCCAUAAUAAUUUCCAUACAUAUGGCCUUCUAUAAUCUCAAAUUUUAGGAAAAUAAUCACUCUAGAACAUCGUAGCUUGCUUUAGGCGCGACCAAUAAUAAAUUAUCGUGGUCAUGGGUACGGUUCCCGUGGCAUGGUUACGAUACGUGAAUCUCAAUUCGGAGGUGCAUUUCAUAUAACCCGAUCAUAACAAUUUCGAAUAAUAAAACCCUUUGAAAUAAAUUGAGGCGUGUCAUGCCAAGCAAAAUUUAUAAUCCAUGGCCUUCAUAAGAUUAGAUUCAGGAACUAACACUUAUAGAAAAAGGUUUGAGGUGUGCUAUAAAUAAAUUAAAUCAUCUGUUGCCCUCACAAAUGUUGCUAUUGAAAAUUGAAUCUUCAUAGUUGCUUUGGGCGCGUUACUUAAAUAAUUCAUCAUAGCUACGGGUACGGUUCCGUGAUGUAGUUGUGGUUUUUUUAAUUAUUAAAAUUCGGGUGUACAUUUCAUGUGACCCAAUUUCAAUCUUCAACAAUGUUAAAUAAAGCGUGUUGCGAACCACGGGUGCAUUUCAUGUAGCGUGGUUUAAGACGUGUUUUAAAUAGCAUUGAAUUUUCCUAAAAAAUAACUAAAGCGUUUACAAAAGCUAAAAAUGCACAAUAGGUUAAAACAUGUAGUUAAUCAGAUAAUAGGCCAUUUUUAACAGUUCAAGUGACCGUGCUAGAACCUCGGAACCCGGGAAUGUCUAACACCUUAUCUCGGGUUAACAUAAUUUCUUAUCAAGANNNNNNNNNNNNNNNNNNNNCUUAAAUUAGAAAAAAUUCUCCUAUAUACCCUCGGGUGUGUAAAAAGGAGGUGUGACAGCUCUGGCGACUCUGUUAGGGACCAAAACCCAAAACUUUGAUUUAAGGUUCAAGAAAUCGAGCGUAGAAUAACUGUUAUAGUUGGCUUGUUUUUAUCUGAUUUUUACAUGUUGAACAUAAUGUGCUAAUUGCCGCUUUUUACAGCUUUGAUAUUGUUUGGACUAUAUAGAAAUUGCUACGAAAGCCUCCUCUCUCUGAGUCUUCUAAAUCAUCUGGGAAGUAUGCACUUCGUGUGACUUCUUUUCUGUUAGAGUCAUUGUCCCAAUUUUAGAACGAGGUUCAGACAAGUUGCAAAGGCAGCGAAGCUUCUGUAUUCCCGGUACGCUACCCUCCCCUCCCUCCCCCCGUCCUCGGCUCGAGCUGUCCGCUCGGGUAAGCCAGGUUUAGAAUAAUACACCCAGGUUUUUAAACUUAGAAUAACACAGCCUCAUGUCGAAUCCCUAGUAGGUACGUUUGUUUGCAUCACGUGCAUCCGACUUUGGGGACUCAACACAGGGAUUGUGUCCGUCUAGGACAGGUGUACCCAAAUAUUAAAAAGACCAUCCUGAUGCAUCUUACGGGCUACUUGCACAUUUGUUUGAUUCGGCUUGCAUGUUAAUCGGCUUCUAGAAUAAGGAAAGAAAAUCAACAAAAAAAAAAGAAAAUAAAAAAAAUUGAUGAAAAAAACCAAGAAUGAGACAAGGUCAUUUCAAAAUGAGCCAAAAAAUUUCAAGUGCCAUGUUUUCCGUGUUCCGUCAAAACUGACCGAACUACGCGGGUCUGAUUCUCACCGGAAGUGAGAUACGUAGACAAACCUCAUCGGUUCCGACCCCAAUUUUAAAAAAUCCAAAAAUAUUUUCCUUUAGUUCCUUCUUUAAAAAUCUUUCCUUAGAAAAUUCAAAAAAAAAAAAAUGUUUUUAAACUCAAAAAAGUAGUUUCCUUCUUUCUGAAAUCUUUUAUAUGGAAAAAAGAAAUUAAAAAAAAUCAAUCAAAAAUCAAAAUCCAAAAUACGAGUUUCAUUUAUUUUGAAGUAUUUUUCCCAAAAAGAUUUUUAAAAAAAAAGAUAAAAAACUUUUUCCUUGUUUAAAGUCUUUCAUUCAAAAAAAAAAAGGCCUUUCAUUAAAAAAAAAAUUGAAAAAUUUUAGUCCAAAAUAUUUUCGCUUUUGUUUAGAAGUGUUUUGUAAAUAAAUAAAAACUCUAAAAUCCAAUCUUUUUUUUUCUUAAAAAUCCCUCUUUCGAAAAUUUAAGAGACAACAUCCAAAAUCCAAAAAUAUUUUUUCUUUCUUCUUUAGGAAAAGAGAAAACAAAUGAAAGUUCAAACAAAAUUAUUUUCUUUUUACAUUUAAAAUUUCCAAAGUUCAAAUCAAAAGAGGAGUGAAUUUUUAGAAGUCUAUCUUUAAAAAAUCAAACAUAAAAAUAAAAAUCAAAAAAAUAUGUCUUUUUUCUUUUAAAGCAUUUCUUUCGGAAAAAAAAUUUCAAAAAAAUAUGUUUUUCUUUUUUUUAAAGCUUUCAUGGUUUGAGUUUUAUAAACAAAUUAAACAAAAAAAUGAGUUAGUUUAUUUACUCCAUUCUCGAUCUUCCUGAAAUACGCAAGAUCUGAUUCAUUCGGCGUUAUGAUACGUAGACAAUCCCCAUCGAAUUCGAUCAUAGCCAUAGGAUUAAUUGAGUGAAAAAUAAACUGAAAAAAAAAAGAGAAAGAAAAAUUGAGUAAAAAACAAGGAGAAAGAAAAGAGUGAAAAAAGGGAAGAGAGUGACAAAGAAAUUAAAGAGUGACAAAAAUAAAAAAAAGAAACUAGAGUGCCAAAAAAUAAAAGAGCGGCAAAAAUAAAAAAUCAAGAGUGAUUAAAAAGAAGCAGAAAUAAAAGAAAAGAGAUAUUUGAGUGAAAAAGAGAGUUAGUUUAAGGCCGGGAUGAAACAUGCAACCGUUCAAACACAUGGUAGAAACGUUUAACUAUUUAGGUGCAUUGCAUCCAAAUGUGCGAUUUCCUAUAUGUUAAGUGUCUCAAAACUAACAAGGUUGUUUAGUGUGCAAAUUAGUCAGGUUUUGGUGGUUGGUUUUGUUGGUAGUCUAGUCUCUCCUCUUUCACAAGAUUCAAAGGAACAGAUGGCCACCGCAAGCAAUCCACCAAUCAUCGGUCCUGAGGAUAGCUCGGCAUCGACUGUUCUGCAGCUAGAAUCAGCAGCCGCUGAAGAGAAUAAGAUGUUGCAUCUCCGCAUAUUGGAAAUGUGGGACGCCUGGUCUAAUGGUAGGGAACCUCCAAGUGCAAUCCCUGAGUUGAUCCCCAGGUCAGGUGAGGUUACAAACACCCAUGUGUCCAACCCGCUCAUCCCAUACGGGCAUCCUCCAAUGCCUUCCAAUGAUCCUGGCAUGCCUUCUGUGGUUCUCCCCCAAGCACCGGCUUCGAGGGCACCACUUCCAAUGUUCAUCUUUUAGGGUCCACAGCUUUAACCAGAAAUUACAUAUGUGACCCCGUACUCUUUCACUCAACCUCCACAAUAUGACCUCUCGGUGGAGCAAGAAAAGGUUGUGAAAAAUCCCGAGCAAGAGGAAAUGCCACGGAAGAUGAAGAGCCUGGAACAAAGCCUGAAAAACAUGCAAGGUCUAAGUGGUAAGAAGAGUAUCUCAUACUCUGACCUCUAUAUGUUUCCCCAUGUCCACUUGCCAGCUAACUUCAAGAUGCCAAAAUUUGAAAAGUAUGACGGGCACAAAGACCUGGUCACUCAUCUAAAAUGAUAUUAUAACCAGUUGAGGGGUGCUGGUGGAAGAGAGGAGUUGCUAAUGGCCUAUUUUGGGGAAAGCCUCACCAGAAUCGCUUCUGAGUGGUAUACGGAUCAAGAAAUUACCCAUUGGCACGUGUGGAACGAUAUGGCUCGAGAUUUUGUUCGCCAAUUCCAAUAUAAUGUGGACAUCGCUCCCGACAAAAACUCCUUGUCCAAUUUGAAAAAGAAAACCGCGGAAAGCUUCCGCGAAUAUGCUGUCAAAUGGCGUGAUCGAGCUGCCAAGGUAAAGCCUUCAAUGGACAAAACUGAAAUGGCCAUAGUCUUUCUGUAGGCCCAAGAGGCUGACUACUUCCAGAACAUGAUGUCUGUUGUGGGUAAGCCGUUCACCGAGGCUAUCAAAAUUGGGGAAAUGGUUGAAAACGGUCUAAAAACGGGCCGAAUCUUGAGUCAUGCUGCUUUUAAAGCCACAUCACCAGAUGUUCAAAAUGGUUCAAAGGGUUUGAUGAACACAAAUGGGAAUGAGGAGGGAGCUAUGAUGGUUUCAAGCUCGAGGGGGCCCGUAGGUCAUUCAGCUAGUCAUGUGUGCCUUCUAUGGUCCCACCACACUGUUAUCCCCUUCAAGAUGAUGCUUAUGUCCUUGAAACAACUGCCAAUGCAAAUGCAAUCAAAAGGUACUAUGUUGGAUCCUCUAUAUAGCAUUAAUGUUCUCCGGUUGAGAUAAAGAAGACUUUCUUUCUCACUACCCAAACACUACCAACCAUUUGCAAACCCUUUGAGCCGGUUACUCUUCUUUGAUUACCCCUUUUGGAACCUGAAAAUGUUAUUGAAAAAAACUAAUAAAUUAAAAAAAGGGAAAAAAUCAAAAAAGGAGAAGAAAAAGAAAGAUACAAAAAAAGAGAGGAAGAAAAUACAAAGAAAUGAAAUGAAAAAAAUGAAAAUGAAAAAAAAGAAAGGAAAAAGAAAGAGAACAAAACAAAACAGAAAAAAGAAGAAAAGAAAAUAAAAAACAAAAUUUCAUGAACUAUGUUCGACUUGAUUCCGAAAGGAUACAUAGGCACCCUCUCUCUGGGGUUCGGUCACACCAAAACAAAAAUCCACAUUCCCCCCAAAGUUGAAACUGGGGCAGAAGUUAUAAUGGUUCGGCAAUUGUUUCGCCUGAAAGAUUCCAAAGUUGUAAUUCAAUCCAAAUUCUUUUUACCCCAAAUUCUUUCAAGUCCUUCCGAUCAAUCGGUAAAAGAUGUUCAAAAUUGGAGGAUACAGUUACUUGGAUCUAAUACAAAAAAUGAGAGAAAUAAAAUGAGAGUCUUAUUGGUGAAAACCCAUACGCGCACCGUAAGGCAAUGGUAAACAGAGAAAUAAAAUGAGAGAGUCUUAUUGGUGAAAACCCACACGGGCACCGUGAGGUGACAGUAAGCAAAGAAACUAGAAAUAAGAGAGUCUUGUUAGUGAAAACUUGCAAAGAGCACUAUAAGGCAAUGGUGAGAAGAGAAAUGAGAGUGGCCAGCUAGUGAAAACCCGCAAAGGGCACCACUAAUCGAAAAGAAGAUCCUCACAGCCAUCGACAUCCACAGAGUCCUGGCAAGAUUUCUCGAUUUUGAGGCAAAAGUUGGGAUGAAUUUCUGAGAGUCGGACAGUUUACACAGAUCAGGCAUCCAGUCUAAAAGGCAUGUCAUGUUCAUUAAAGUCCGCAUGUACUCCAGAUAAGUCCUUCUUUCCUUUCCUCGAAAGGGACACAUCUUGUUUAAACUCACUCUCAAUUCCUUUGUUUAUUUUCUUUGAAUCCCUUUCGGUCUAACUCUGUUCCGAAACUAAGACAAAGAAAGGAUGGUAAGACUGAUUUACACGGUUCUCAUUUGAUACAAGCUAAUAUGCGAAAAGGCACCCAGCCUCAUCAGGGGCAUCAAAUCGACCUCGACCAGCCAUGGCGGCCGAUGCUUCGAAAUCAAAACUCUUGGAAGGAGAAAGUCAAAUUGAAGUGCCUAUAAAGGCAAAUGAAGUUGAAAAGGUUGAGUCCCACGUGACUAACCGUCUCGGCAAAGGUUUGAAAAGCCAAGGCACCCAAAUGUUCUGAAAUUGAAGUUAGAAGAAAGAAUCCAGAAAUGAAAGGCCUACGAAGGCGAAAUAAAGUUGGAAAAGGUAAGUCCCACGCGACUAGCCGUUGCAGCAAGUUUGAGAAGCCAAAAAGUUCUCCGAUGCUCCGAAGAAAAAAAAAGAGAGAAGGAAGUCAGAAAGGAAAGGCCUACAAAGGCAAAAUAAAGUCGAAAAGGUUGAGUUCCACUGACCAACCAUCAUGACAAAGUCUAGAAAAAACCAUAGGUUCUCCAGGGCCUGAAAUGAAAUCGGUCCCCAGGAAACGACCAGUUGCAAUUGAGAUCUUCAUCAAAGAAGCCGCGCUGAGAAUCAAGUGAUUGAAACAAUCAAGGCCACAAAACCAACCCGCCGUUUCAAAUUAACAAUCAUUCUUUGUUUGAAAACAUGAAACAGGUGCCAUCCAAAGCAACCUUGCAAGAAGCAUGUGCAACCAAAAAGAAACUGCGCAAGGGCUAGAAACAACUUUGCAACAAUAAUCAAUCCAAAAGGGAAGUCUCUUCCGAAUUCUUUCCUGCAUUUUUACUCAUUUUCUUAAAAUAUAAGAAGAAGAAAAUUCAAAUCAUGGUAGCAUAGGGUCUCACUCCCUAGCUGAUGCCAGCAUAACCUGGUAAUCUCUUCCAACAUAUGGUCUCAUUCCCUAGUCGCUGCCAGCAUAACCUGGUAGUCUUUUCCAAUAUAGGGUUCCACUCCCUAAUUGAUCUCCGACAUAACCCGAGGACCUUUUCUCGGCAUAAUCCGAUGACUUUGCCAGCAUAACCCGAUAACCUUUCCCGGCAUAACCCAAUGACCUUUUUCUUUUCCGACAUAACCCGAUGACCUUCUUAGCAUAACCAGAGGACACUUUUCUUUUCCGACAUAACCCGAUGACUUUCCCGACAUAACCCGUGGACCUCCCCGGCAUAACCAGAGGAUCUUUUUCUUUUUCGGCAUAACCCGAUGACUUUUUCUGACAUAACCCAAGAACUUUUUUCUUUCCCGACAUAACCGAUGGACACCCCCGGCAUAACCCAAAGACCUUUUUCUUUUCCAGCAUAACCCGAUGACCUUUUUCUUUACCGGCAUAACUCGUGGACCUCCCCAGCUUAACCCGAGAACCUUUUUCUUUUCCAGCAUAACCCGAUGACCUUUCCCGGCAUACCCCAUGGACCUCCCCGGCAUAACCUGAGGACUUUUUUUUCCAGCAUAACCCGAUGACCUUUUUUCUUAUUCCAGCAUAACCCGAGGACCUUUCCGGCAUAACCCGAUCAUUUUUCUAACAUAACCUGUUAAUCUCUUCCAACAUAUGAUCACAUUCCCUAGCUGAUGUCAGCAUAACAUGGUAAUCCUUUCCAAUAUAGGAUCUCACUCCCUAGCUGAUGCCAGCAUAACCUGGUAAUCUUUUCCGGCAUAGGGUCUCAUUCCUUAGUUGAUGCUAGCAUAACCUGGUAAUCUUUUCAACUUAGGAUAUCCGAUCCCCUUUUGAUUUUAUUUUAGAUAUAGGGCCUCCACUCCUAAUCUCUUUUCCUCAGGAAUACACAAUCCCGAUUUUAAUUGCUUUCAAUAAAGAAAUAGUUUAGAUUUUGUUACAAUAACUCGCGAAAUUUUCAUAGUGAAAACUGGGGCAGAAAAAUUUCGUUCGUUUGUUUGUUUUGGUGUCUUAGCAGGUUAUACUUCAAGGCACAGGGUUCGAGAUGACCGUAAGAAGAUUUCUCAAUCCAGAAUAAAAAAAAAGAAAGAACAAGAAAAGAAGUGAACUUCAAGUGCAAAAGCGAAGAAAAGAUGCAAACUGCUCAAGAUAUGAUUGAAGUUACGAGUUUUGCAUGUCCCGCCUUGAUCCGAAGAGCUGAAGAAAAAUGAACCAACAUUCGCAGCUAACGAACAUCAAGAAUCAGAUCAGAGUCUGCAGCAAGAACCAACCAAGACUCAAGAUCAAGCUUCAGAAAACUCAUAAAUAGGAAUCUUGUAACUCGUACCUCAUAAGCUUAGUUAGUCUUUUUCAUUUUUGAUGUAAUAACAGGACCGAGGACCGGAACCUCGACGGAAACUCAAUCGACUCUCGAACGCAUCACUCCAUCAUCCUUCCAGAAUACACCGACCUGAUUCCUUUAAAGCCAAGGAUAUGUAGACAACCUCCGAAGCAAGGUUCGGUCAAACUUUUUCAAAAUGCUUCCAAAUAGAGUUUCAAAUGGGCAAAAAUUGUUCGUAAUUGUUCACUUUAUCUUUGCCCGAAAAUUCUUCUGAUUUUCGAGCAAAGAGGGGCAGCUGUGAGCACCUAAUUUUUGUUCUACAUGAAAAUAACUCCUAAAAAUAAAUCAAAAAUAAUUUUUUAAGGGAUUUUAAUUUUUUUUUUCUUUAUUUAGUUGCAUUUUUAAUAUUUUAAAAUUAUAGAAAAAUGAUAAAAAUAUCAUAUUUCAAUUUCAUGUCAUUUUAGGUCCAAUUUGCAUUUAGG
Molecule: long non-coding RNA, 9128 nt
Filed under: Nicotiana tabacum (common tobacco)
Lineage: Eukaryota; Viridiplantae; Streptophyta; Magnoliopsida; Solanales; Solanaceae
Description: long non-coding RNA (NTAB_LNC006194)
Source: RNAcentral